Molecule: non-coding RNA, 1358 nt
Organism: Camellia sinensis
Lineage: Eukaryota; Viridiplantae; Streptophyta; Magnoliopsida; Ericales; Theaceae
Source: RefSeq, a predicted model, not a curated record
UUUUUGUUUAUUUGUUCCCAGAUCUCCAUCUCAGAUUAGAUCGAUCUAUAGUUGUUGUCUUCCUCUUUCGGUGAGCUCCUCUCUCUCUCUCUUUCUCUCUCUCUCUCUCUUUCUAACACUCUGAAAUAGGUUUAAUCUCUAACACUCUGAAAUAGGUUCCCAGAUCAUCCAUCGCAGAUUAGAUCGAUUGUUCAUGUCAUCUACAAUGGAUUCAGUGAAUGUUUACAGGAAUGGAGUUGCUAUUGGAAUGGAAAUGCUAGUGGCAUAGGAUGUUUAUAGGUUUUCAGUUUAUGGAAAUGCUAGUGGAAUAGAAUGGAAAUGCUAGUGAAAUGAAAGUUUAAUUUGGAAUGGUUUACAGUUUAUAAUUUGAAAUGAAAAUGUAAUGUCUAUAUUUUUUUUGUUAUUUAAUUAUUUAAAUCCGUGGUCCUAAUGUGCUCAACAUAUCAUUAAAUAUGGGAGUAACAAGGACAAUCCUCUUUGGUAGCUUUUUCCUUUGUUUAGAAAUUAGUAAAGCAUAAGACUUAAAAUCAACAAUAAUGAUUAUUAUAAUCACUGUGUAUUUGUAAUAAUAUGAUUUUACUGACAUAAUGCACCCAAGUUGGUCUAAGACUAUGAGAACUGAGAAGAUGAUUGUCAAUUGAUGUAUUUCAAUCAUUAGAAUUCUGUUAGGACUUGUGAUUGCUUUAGUUGUAUGUAUUGCUGUUUUCUAUUUUAAAUUUUUUUUUUUAUAUAUAGAAUUUUAGGGAUAAACUCUUGGGCUGAAGUUUUUACUAUAUGGGCUAGGGUAGUUUCAUAUGGUAACUACGUAUUAUUAGGGCCUCUUACGAGAAAAUGAGAUGAUGCCUUUGAAAAGGAAUUAAAAUUGAAAUAUUUGGAAGAGAUGCGCUCUUCUUCUCUCUGCUUCUUGGCUUUUUUUCUUCUAUGUUAAAUUAAAUCUCUUUACUCUCUUUCUUCUCAUAUUUUUAUCUUCUCUUCCUCCCUCAUCUCUUAUUUGUAUCUUCUCUCUGUCCCAGGCUGUCUUUUGGGUUUCCAAGUCUGAGAAGUUGAAGGUAUUUUAAAAUGGUUUUUGGUUCAAGCUUCCUACCCAUGACCGACCGUGAACUUGUUAAAACAAUAGAUUUACACCCACAACCGAACCACAGCACAUGCAAAACUGUCCGUAGCUCGUCGGGUGGGUUCGGAUUGGACGGUUUGCCGGGUCUCCAGGUUAAAGAAGAACAAGUGCAACUUCAAAUGCAAUGGUAAAACCUUAGAAUGGCAGUGCUGCUCCAAAGUCACGCAUUCCUCAAAUGGUUGCUCAAACACUGGGUUUUGGCCAAAACCUGCUGCUGCUGGUGAUAGUAAUUGCACCCCCCAAC